CACUAGUGAUUGGUGUUCUUCCCGAUAUCUACACAUUCCACCGUUACACCGGGAAUUCCAGUCUCCCCUACCGCACUCAAGCCCGCCCGUACCCGGCGCGGAUCCACCGUUAAGCGAUGGACUUUCACACCGGACGCGACGAACCGCCUACGAGCCCUUUACGCCCAAUAAUUCCGGAUAACGCUUGCACCCUACGUAUUACCGCGGCUGCUGGCACGUAGUUAGCCGGUGCUUAUUCGAAAGGUACACUCACCCGAAGGCUUGCUCCCGAUCAAAAGCGGUUUACAACCCGAAGGCCGUCAUCCCGCACGCGGCGUCGCUGCAUCAGGCUUGCGCCCAUUGUGCAAUAUUCCCCACUGCUGCCUCCCGUAGGAGUCUGGGCCGUAUCUCAGUCCCAAUGUGGCCGGUCGCCCUCUCAGGCCGGCUACCCGUCGUAGGCUCGGUGGGCCGUUACCCCGCCGACUACCUGAUAGGACGCGACCCCAUCCCAUACCGAUGAAAUCUUUCCAGACCACCAUGCGAUGGACUGGAGCAUCCGGCAUUACCACCCGUUUCAGGAGAAUCGAAUUC
RNAcentral lists this ribosomal RNA (570 nucleotides) under uncultured Bifidobacterium sp. RNAcentral describes it as "partial 16S rRNA". Lineage: Bacteria; Bacillati; Actinomycetota; Actinomycetes; Bifidobacteriales; Bifidobacteriaceae. The record is from RNAcentral.